Molecule: ribosomal RNA, 274 nt
Filed under: uncultured bacterium
Lineage: Bacteria
Description: partial 16S ribosomal RNA
Rfam family: Bacterial small subunit ribosomal RNA
Source: RNAcentral
AUACGGAGGGUCCAAGCGUUAUCCGGAAUCAUUGGGUUUAAAGGGUCCGCAGGCGGUCAAUUAAGUCAGAGGUGAAAGCCCAUCGCUCAACGAUGGAACUGCCUUUGAUACUGGUUGACUUGAGUUAUACGGAAGUAGAUAGAAUAAGUAGCGUAGCGGUGAAAUGCAUAGAUAUUACUUAGAAUACCGAUUGCGAAGGCAGUCUACUACGUAUAUACUGACGCUGAGGGACGAAAGCGUGGGGAGCGAACAGGAUUAGAAACCCUAGUAGUCC